Molecule: long non-coding RNA, 1099 nt
Filed under: Marmota monax (woodchuck)
Lineage: Eukaryota; Metazoa; Chordata; Mammalia; Rodentia; Sciuridae
Source: RNAcentral
ACUAUUAAAACACCCCCUUAAUUCCACCAUGGAAAAGGCUUUUAAAAAAAAAUCCUCAACAACCAUUCAUUAAGCACCUUCUCUGGCUGCAUGUGCCCAGUUCCUUAUUAAGCAUUGGUAAUACAAAAUAAGUAGGACACAUUUUCUGAAUUUGGAGUCAGGGACUAAAGAAGGCAUUUACAAAUUCAUGUGAUUGACAUCCUCUCCUUCAGAUGUGUACCCAGUGUGGUGAGAGCCAAAGAAGAUAACUUUGAGGGCUAGGUGGGAGAAUAGGGUAGAAGAAACUUCAGAAUGAAUGAUUAUUUGAGCUGGGUCUUGAAGAGUGAAUAGGAGUUCGCCAGUUCACAUUUUGCUUAAGGACAAAAAAAAAAAAAAGUAAAUGGAAAGAAGAAAAUGCUAGAGGAAUGGAAAAUGUUUGGAGUAGUUGAGACUCAAAGGAAUGGAGGGAAUGUGGAGUACAGGGUGUGGUGGACUGCAUUACCAUUCACAAAUACUCCCUGUCCCUCCCCACUGACAUCAGGCUUGGCCAUGUAAACUGCUCUCAGCAGAAGCUUUAGAAGCCAUGCUCUUUUCUCUCUGCCACAACCACCAGUGAUGUUUUAGAGAAAAGAUGCUUUAUUAGUCAGGGUCUGGGGCAAAGAUGGGGGUAAAAGUACAAACACAGCUGACUUAUGACAGACAUGCAGUACAAGUGAGAAACAAUUCAGGCUGUAAUCCAGAUUUGUGGAUGGCUAUCAAAGCAUCACCUAGUCUAGACAGAGGUAUGCUUUUUCCAUCUCUCUGACUUCUAGACACACACAGUAGGGUUGUACUUUCCUAUACCUUGAAGGCAUGUUCAUGUGACUGGUCUGGGCCAAUAAACAGAAUAAUGUGUUUCAUUCCUGGAAGGAAGGGUUUAGAGUCAACGUGAAUUUGCUAUGCUUUCUUUUCCUGCCAGGGUGACUGAAUUCACUGUGGAAACAUCAGGAUGAAAUCUUCAGCACAGGAUUCUGAGUGAGCACAGUGAGCAGAGUCCCUUUGACCUCAAACAUAUAGUAUGAGCAAAAAAUAAAGUUUCGGUGUUAAGCCACUGAUUUUAGGAUUUUUUUGUUACCGCGCA